RNAcentral lists this ribosomal RNA (468 nucleotides) under uncultured bacterium. RNAcentral's name for it is "partial 16S ribosomal RNA". It matches the Rfam family "Bacterial small subunit ribosomal RNA", at positions 28 to 507 of the family's 1533-position model. The record is from RNAcentral.
GACGAACGCUGGCGGCGUGCUUAACACAUGCAAGUCGAACGGAAAGGCCCUGCUUUUGCGGGGUGCUCGAGUGGCGAACGGGUGAGUAACACGUGAGUAACCUGCCCUUGACUUUGGGAUAACUUCAGGAAACUGGGGCUCAUACCGGAUAGGAGCUCCUGCUGCAUGGUGGGGGUUGGAAAGUUUCGGCGGUUGGGGAUGGACUCGCGGCUUAUCAGCUUGUUGGUGGGGUAGUGGCUUACCAAGGCUUUGACGGGUAGCCGGCCUGAGAGGGUGACCGGGCACAUUGGGACUGAGAUACGGCCCAGACUGCUACGGGAGGCAGCAGUGGGGAAUAUGGCACAAUGGGCGGAAGCCUGAUGCAGCAACGCCGCGUGCGGGAUGACGGCCUUCGGGUUGUAAACCGCUUUCGCAUGUGACGAAGCGUGAGUGACGGUAAUGGGUAAAGAAGCACCGGCUAACUACGUG